Molecule: ribosomal RNA, 253 nt
Filed under: uncultured bacterium
Lineage: Bacteria
Description: partial 16S ribosomal RNA
Rfam family: Bacterial small subunit ribosomal RNA
Source: RNAcentral
UACGUAGGGGGCAAGCGUUGUCCGGAUUUAUUGGGCGUAAAGCGCUCGCAGGCGGCCCGAUGCGUCGUGCGUGAAACACCCCGGCUCAACUGGGGAGGGUCGUGCGAUACGGUCGGGCUUGAGUUCGGUAGGGGAGACUGGAAUUCCUGGUGUAGCGGUGAAAUGCGCAGAUAUCAGGAGGAACACCGGUGGCGAAGGCGGGUCUCUGGGCCGAUACUGACGCUGAGGAGCGAAAGCGUGGGGAGCGAACAGG